GACGAACGCUGGCGGCGUGCCUAAUACAUGCAAGUAGAACGCUGAAGAGAGGAGCUUCCUCUUCUUGGAUGAGUUGCGAACGGGUGAGUAACGCGUAGGUAACCUGCCUUGUAGCGGGGGAUAACUAUUGGAAACGAUAGCUAAUACCGCAUAACAAUGGAUGACACAUGUCAUUUAUUUGAAAGGGGCAAUUGCUCCACUACAAGAUGGACCUGCGUUGUAUUAGCUAGUAGGUGAGGUAAUGGCUCACCUAGGCGACGAUACAUAGCCGACCUGAGAGGGUGAUCGGCCACACUGGGACUGAGACACGGCCCAGACUCCUACGGGAGGCAGCAGUAGGGAAUCUUCGGCAAUGGGGGCAACCCUGACCGGGCAACGCCGCGUGAGUGAAGAAGGUUGUCGGAUCGUAAAGCUCUGUUGUAAGUCAAGAACGGGUGUGAGAGUGGAAAGUUCACACUGUGACGGUAGCUUACCAGAAAGGGACGGCUAACUACGUG
RNAcentral lists this ribosomal RNA (497 nucleotides) under uncultured bacterium. RNAcentral describes it as "partial 16S ribosomal RNA". It matches the Rfam family "Bacterial small subunit ribosomal RNA", at positions 28 to 507 of the family's 1533-position model. The record is from RNAcentral.